Molecule: long non-coding RNA, 1080 nt
Organism: Mus pahari (shrew mouse)
Lineage: Eukaryota; Metazoa; Chordata; Mammalia; Rodentia; Muridae
Exons: 5
Source: RefSeq, a predicted model, not a curated record
GCUGCUGGGAGGCUGCUUCCUCGGGUUUCCCACGCUGUCCUUUCCUAGCUGACCCUCCCAGGGAGGCUUGCCUUUCCUGGGAGGCUGGCAGAGGAGUGGCACAGAGGACUUUUCUUACAAGCUCAGGCCAAGAAUUGUAUAGUUCCUGAUCAACUAUAUAAUGUGAAAAACAGAUGGGGUCAAUAUAAACCAUCAUGGAGCAGGAGGAUCAACAGUGAGCCAGUGAGCCCCAGUGAGCCAGUCUUCUUGACCCCCAGAGGCCCGUGAAGCCACUUGAGAGAAGAUCACAGUUUAAAGGAAUCCAGUUCACCAUGGGAGGAAUACAGGGCAGCAGUGGUUCCAUGAUAGCUGUGCGGCUGGGACUAUUCACUUCCUCACAACUUGGCAGAAUGAAAAAACAUGGAACAGACAGAAGACAUGAACUUGACUGGCUAGGUAUAAAAGCCAUAUGGAAGUCAAGCCAGAAGAGGCAACACAACCUUGAAAAAGAUGGAAGGUGGAAGACGAGUAUUUCCCAGGUUCAAAACCUAUAGUAAUCUUCCUACGGAGACCAGCAAAGAAUUGAUGGUAUAGGGAUAAACCACACAUUAGGGUCAAUUUCACGCAAGGUGCCCAAAGCAACUUGAUGGGAGAGAACUAUGUUCGUAGUUGUUUGGCUUUGGUCCUGGGGUUUGAACCUCACAUGUGCUGAGUAAGCACUCUUCCACUGAGCUACAUCCUCGUCCCUCGGUUUUCACAUCUUAUUUGGACAUGGGGCUUCACUAAAUUAUCGCUGCUGACUUUGAACUCAUUCUGUAGCCUGGGCUGGCCUUGAACUUGCAGUUCUCCAGCCUCAGCCUCCCAAUUAGCUGGGAUUCAGGACUUGUGGCAUAGGCCCAGCUAAAAAUACCCUAUUCGAAAAAUGGUGCUGGGCCAGGUGAAUAUCUUCGUGCAAAAGAGUAAAGUUGACUCUCUUCAGCACUGUAAACCUCCCUCAAAGUACUGUGUGGAUACAGUGUAUAUGUAUGGAGAUGUCACAAUGAAACUCAUUAUUUUGUACUUUAAUUUAAAAAUUCAUAAAAUACUAAGUCAAAAUGAAUC